RNAcentral lists this ribosomal RNA (496 nucleotides) under uncultured bacterium. Its description in RNAcentral is "partial 16S ribosomal RNA". It matches the Rfam family "Bacterial small subunit ribosomal RNA", at positions 28 to 507 of the family's 1533-position model. The record is from RNAcentral.
GAUGAACGCUGGCGGCGUGCCUAAUACAUGCAAGUCGAGCGACAGACGAGGAGCUUGCUCCUCUGACGUUCGCGGCGGACGGGAGAGUAACCCGUGGUUCACCUACCUAUAAAGAAGGGGUAACUUCGGGAAACCGGUGCCAAUACCGGAAAAAUUAAUCAACCGCAGGGGUCAAUAGUGAAAGACAGUUUGGCGGUCACGUAAUGAUGGACCAGCGCCGCAUUACCUAGCUGGUAAGGUAACCGCUUAACCAAGACACGAUGGGUAGCCCCCCUGAGAGGGUGGUCGCCCACCCUGGCACUGAGGCACGGUCCAGACUCCUACGGGAGGCAGCAGUCGGGAAUCUUCCGCGAUGGGCGAGAGCCUGACGGUGCAACGCCGCGUGAGGGAUGAAGGUCUUCGGAUCCUAAAGCUCUGUUAUUAGUGAAGAACAAAUGUGUAAUUACCUAUGCACGUCUUGACGGUACCUAAUCAGAAAGCCACGGCUAACUACGUG